AUCGCUUCUCAGCCUUUUGGCUAAGAUCAUGUGUAGUAUCUGUUCUUAUCAGUUUAAUAUCUGAUACGUCCUCUAUUUGAGGACUAUAUAUUGAAUAUUUGCUCUUGCAUACUAAAAGCGUUCUGGCUCAAGACUUCUGCUGCCCAAAACAGUUCAAAGAGAAAAAAGCCAAAUCCUUGUGUUCAGAGCUGAGUUA
Molecule: small nuclear RNA, 196 nt
Filed under: Pogona vitticeps (central bearded dragon)
Lineage: Eukaryota; Metazoa; Chordata; Lepidosauria; Squamata; Agamidae
Description: U2 spliceosomal RNA (ENSPVIG00000007648.1)
Rfam family: U2 spliceosomal RNA (bases 1-115)
About the family: U2 is a small nuclear RNA (snRNA) component of the spliceosome (involved in pre-mRNA splicing). Complementary binding between U2 snRNA (in an area lying towards the 5' end but 3' to hairpin I) and the branchpoint sequence (BPS) of the intron results the bulging out of an unpaired adenosine, on the BPS, which initiates a nucleophilic attack at the intronic 5' splice site, thus starting the first of two transesterification reactions that mediate splicing.
Source: RNAcentral